GCUCGAUCGACAAAAUUGUUACAACAUUAUAGUCACCAAUUUUGAAGUGUUUCGAUAAAGACUGACUGUAAGAUCAUAGAUAAAGACGACGUGGUCUUUAUCUGUGGUAAGAUAUAGAGCAAACCAAUGACGCGUACCCCAGCCAUGGCAACCUGGAGGCGGCCGUAUUUGGGAUCACGUCGUUUUUCUGCUUUGUUGAGUUCUUACGGGUUUUUGAGGGAUGAAGGUCCCUGAGAUUACAGUCCGUAGUUGUUUUCUAGUUGAAUAUUGGAACAAAUAAGUUGUAGGACUAAAAUAGGUAAUUAAACGGGGAAUUUUUUCAUGUAUUUAUCUUUUUUUUCUGAAUUCCCAUUUAUUUAUUUUUAAAUUAUUUAGAAGCAUGGUAAAAGAGGGGAUGGUAUGUUCACUCACUAGAAUUUUCCCAUAAGGCUUGAUCCCAGGUUGCCCCGGUAUAUGGAGUGACACCAAGCGGAUUUUCUCCAGAACUAUGUCUGAACACGUUUUUUUUUCUACGUCCUAGCAAAACAAAACAAAUUAGAAUUUUGUAAAAAAAAUGUGAAAAAAUUCGUAUUUUUUACAGAAUCGAGGUAUUCUAUCAAUUUCGCUUUAAAAAUACAGAAAAAAGGAAAAUAAAAAAAAUAUGACCGUCGAUUUGAACUUACGUCGUCUCAAAUGGAUGCUGGACGCUCUCCCAACUUGGAAAACAAUUAAUGACAGCAAAUCAAAAAUUGCGAAUAAUAACCCCUUUUUGGAAGCACAAUUCAAGAAAACACGAUUCAGUAACGCUACGCUAGGUGGCAGCACAAUUUACUAGGGCUUUGAGAAAAACCCUGAAAAACCGACUUAUGGGAAAGUUCUAGUGCGUGAACAUACCAUCCCCUCUUCUACCAUAUUAGAAGUGUUGUUUACGUUUUUCGGGGAAUGAUCCACCGAACGAUGGAGCAGUUGGACAUACUGCGUUGUGCAUUCUCCGCAAAUGCGAAAAUCUCAUUUGUGUCCAACUUGGUCUGUGUCGCCUACAGCGUCUUAUGGGAAAACCAACUUCUCCUCGCAGACGUUUCUAGACGUUUCUAGACAGAAUCGACCACGCUACGAA
This is a long non-coding RNA of Daphnia pulex (common water flea), 1096 nucleotides long. RefSeq lists it as uncharacterized. NCBI's taxonomy places the organism in Eukaryota, Metazoa, Arthropoda, Branchiopoda, Diplostraca, Daphniidae. The transcript has 2 exons. The record is from RefSeq and is a predicted model, not a curated record.